CCGUGUCUAUCGUACCUUGUUGCUUCGGCGGGCCCGCCGUUUCGACGGCCGCCGGGGAGGCCUUGCGCCCCCGGGCCCGCGCCCGCCGAAGACCCCAACAUGAACGCUGUUCUGAAAGUAUGCAGUCUGAGUUGAUUAUCGUAAUCAGUUAAAACUUUCAACAACGGAUCUCUUGGUUCCGGCAUCGAUGAAGAACGCAGCGAAAUGCGAUAAGUAAUGUGAAUUGCAGAAUUCAGUGAAUCAUCGAGUCUUUGAACGCACAUUGCGCCCCCUGGUAUUCCGGGGGGCAUGCCUGUCCGAGCGUCAUUGCUGCCCUCAAGCACGGCUUGUGUGUUGGGCCCCCGUCCCCCUCUCCCGGGGGACGGGCCCGAAAGGCAGCGGCGGCACCGCGUCCGGUCCUCGAGCGUAUGGGGCUUUGUCACCUGCUCUGUAGGCCCGGCCGGCGCCAGCCGACACCCAACUUUAUUUUUCUAAGGUUGACCUCGGAUCAGGUAGGGAUACCCGCUGAACUUAAGCAUA
Molecule: ribosomal RNA, 519 nt
Filed under: Aspergillus fumigatus
Lineage: Eukaryota; Fungi; Ascomycota; Eurotiomycetes; Eurotiales; Aspergillaceae
Description: eukaryotic LSU rRNA
Rfam family: 5.8S ribosomal RNA (bases 153-306)
Source: RNAcentral